This 250-nucleotide ribosomal RNA is filed under the name uncultured bacterium. Its description in RNAcentral is "partial 16S ribosomal RNA". It matches the Rfam family "Bacterial small subunit ribosomal RNA", at positions 86 to 334 of the family's 1533-position model. The record is from RNAcentral.
AGAUGGCGACCGGCGCACGGGUGAGUAACACGUAUCCAACCUGCCGAUAACUCGGGGAUAGCCUUUCGAAAGAAAGAUUAAUACCCGAUGGCAUAAUUAGACCGCAUGGUCUUAUUAUUAAAGAAUUUCGGUUAUCGAUGGGGAUGCGUUCCAUUAGGCAGUUGGUGAGGUAACGGCUCACCAAACCUUCGAUGGAGUAGGGGUUCUGAGAGGAACGGUCCCCCACAUUGGAACUGAGACACGGUACCAA